This 433-nucleotide ribosomal RNA is filed under the name uncultured bacterium. RNAcentral describes it as "partial 16S ribosomal RNA". It matches the Rfam family "Bacterial small subunit ribosomal RNA", at positions 29 to 507 of the family's 1533-position model. The record is from RNAcentral.
AACGAACGCUGGCGGCAGGCCUAACACAUGCAAGUCGAGCGCGCCCUUCGGGGUGAGCGGCGGACGGGUGAGUAACGCGUGGGAACGUGCCUUUUUCUACGGAAUAGCCUCGGGAAACUGAGAGUAAUACCGUAUACGCCCUUUGGGGGAAAGAUUUAUCGGAAAAGGAUCGGCCCGCGUUGGAUUAGGUAGUUGGUGGGGUAAUGGCCUACCAAGCCGACGAUCCAUAGCUGGUUUGAGAGGAUGAUCAGCCACACUGGGACUGAGACACGGCCCAGACUCCUACGGGAGGCAGCAGUGGGGAAUCUUAGACAAUGGGGGCAACCCUGAUCUAGCCAUGCCGCGUGAGUGAUGAAGGCCUUAGGGUUGUAAAGCUCUUUCAGCUGGGAAGAUAAUGACGGUACCAGCAGAAGAAGCCCCGGCUAACUCCGUG